This 75-nucleotide transfer RNA is filed under the name Bacteroidota bacterium. RNAcentral describes it as "Bacteroidetes bacterium (activated sludge metagenome) tRNA-OTHER". It matches the Rfam family "tRNA". From Rfam's summary of the family: Transfer RNA (tRNA) molecules are approximately 80 nucleotides in length. Their secondary structure includes four short double-helical elements and three loops (D, anti-codon, and T loops). Further hydrogen bonds mediate the characteristic L-shaped molecular structure. tRNAs have two regions of fundamental functional importance: the anti-codon, which is responsible for specific mRNA codon recognition, and the 3' end, to which the tRNAs corresponding amino acid is attached (by aminoacyl-tRNA synthetases). tRNAs cope with the degeneracy of the genetic code in two manners: having more than one tRNA (with a specific anti-codon) for a particular amino acid; and 'wobble' base-pairing, i.e. permitting non-standard base-pairing at the 3rd anti-codon position. The record is from RNAcentral. Lineage: Bacteria; Pseudomonadati; Bacteroidota.
GGUCCCGUAGCUCAGCUGGAUAGAGCAUCCCGACUUUAGUCGGGACGGUCUCCGGUUCGAAUCCAAACGGGAUCA